CCUACGGGUGGCUGCAGUGAGGAAUAUUGGUCAAUGGCCGGGAGGCUGAACCAGCCAAGUCGCGUGAGGGAAGACGGCGCUACGGGUUGUAGACCUCUUUUGUCAGGGAGCAAGGUGCAGGUCGGGACCUGCCCUGAGAGUACCUGGAGAAAAAGCAUCGGCUAACUCCGUGCCAGCAGCCGCGGUAAUACGGAGGAUGCGAGCGUUAUCCGGAUUUAUUGGGUUUAAAGGGUGCGCAGGCGGGGGCACAAGUCAGCGAUAAAAUCGCGGGGCUCAACCCUGCCCCGCCGUUGAAACUGUGUGCCUUGAGUGCGCGAAGGGCAGGCGGAAUGCGCGGUGUAGCGGUGAAAUGCAUAGAUAUCACGCAGAACCCCGAUUGCGAAGGCAGCCUACCGGGGCGCCACUGACGCUCAUGCACGAAAGCGUGGGUAUCGAACAGGAUUAGAUACCCGAGUAGUC
RNAcentral lists this ribosomal RNA (459 nucleotides) under uncultured bacterium. Its description in RNAcentral is "partial 16S ribosomal RNA". It matches the Rfam family "Bacterial small subunit ribosomal RNA", at positions 338 to 795 of the family's 1533-position model. The record is from RNAcentral.